CUGCAACUCGAGGCCCAUGAAGGUUGGGAAUCGCGAUAGUAAUCGGCAGAUCAGCAUGCUUGCGGUGAAUACGUUCCCGGGCCUUGUACACACCAGCCCGUCACACCAUGGGAGUUGGCUUUACCUGAAGGCGGUGCGCUAACCAGCAAUGGAGGCAGCCGACCACGGUAGGGUCAGCGACUGGGGUGAAGUCGUAACAACGGUAGCCGUGA
RNAcentral lists this ribosomal RNA (212 nucleotides) under uncultured bacterium. RNAcentral describes it as "partial 16S ribosomal RNA". It matches the Rfam family "Bacterial small subunit ribosomal RNA", at positions 1305 to 1505 of the family's 1533-position model. The record is from RNAcentral.